This is an RNA transcript of Hemicordylus capensis (graceful crag lizard), 16817 nucleotides long. It is a transcript of the gene named G protein-coupled receptor 62, with no coding region annotated. The record is from RefSeq and is a predicted model, not a curated record. NCBI's taxonomy places the organism in Eukaryota, Metazoa, Chordata, Lepidosauria, Squamata, Cordylidae. The transcript has 5 exons.
CCCAAGUUUGAGAAUCCCUGGCGUAGGGUUUGUUUUGGGUUUCUGUGUGCUCUUGUCUAAUCUAGACCAUCCAGGAACUGCUGCUGUGUAUACCUAGAGGGGAGCAUGAGAGCGAGCCAUCCAUGUGUAGAGGAGAGAAGGAGACUGCUGCACACUCGGUUAAAAAUGGGCAGAGAAGCUGUUGCCUCUCUGGCUCCAGGACAUUAAUGGCUGAUGCCAUGUUGCCACUGGGGGCUGCUGCUGCGCUUUUAUCUGCAAGUGAAGAGGAAGAGACUCUCCCCUCCUGCAACACUCCUCCAGUUUAAAUGCCCCUGAAGAGCCUGGGCUGGGUUGAUUUUUUUUUACUUUCAGUUAUGCCCUCGGGUGGUGCGCACACUCUGACCAAGGCACUUGGUUAGCACACGGUCCUUGAGUGUUGUUGUGCAGAACCCACAUAGCUCUCUCUUUAAAAGAACAAGUGAACCCCUGUAGGAAAGGAGUGGGGGAGGGUGCUCAAGGUGGGGCUUUGGCCAUACAAUCCUCCACACCACUUGCACUACCAGCAUCCAAAUGGGAACAGAGGCAGUGAUGGAAGGGGACUCCAGCAGCUGUAGCAGCUCUUACAGGGCCUUUCUAAGUCUUGUUCUGCUAGGAGGGCUGCAAUAUGGUGGCUGGAGCAGCCAAAUGAUGUUGUCUCAACACGUGCCCUCCCAUUGGGGGAAACGAGCUGUAUAAGAGCAAUCAUACCCCACACCUUCCUCUACCGCAGCAACGCCGGCCCCUGCCCUGCAGUCUUCCUGCUUUUUGCUGUUUUCUCAUUUCUACCGCUAAGCAAUCUUCUGCUACAGUAAUAUAAUAGGUAAACAUAUUGCCUUGCCUUUCAGUUUGUAUAAUCCAGUUUUAGGAUUUGGGCUCCCCCCACCAGCCUUGCAAAAUCCUGCUUAUGUUCCUAUGCACAUCCACCUCUCAGGAAAAGCCGUUUAAAUGGGCAGGAAAAACCACACAACGUUCUGUUCUAUCUGCCAUCUUUCGCAGGAGAAAUGAGCAUGGGUCAUUCUAAGCUGUUCUAUUAGCGAUUCAAAGAAUAGCUAUAGAAACUUAGUGUUGCUUGCAUUGGAUGGACCUAGAGAUGUGGCUGUCCCUACCAGCCUAUUGCCUUAGUUCCGUUAACAGGAAUUGGGGGAUAAUAACAGGGAAAGGAUGUGGGUCCUCCUUAGCUAGAAGGCGUCGGUGUCAGCCAGAGCAACAUGCAAUCAAACCUCCUCUCAAGCCUGUCUAUUUAAGGGUGAGUGCAUUUUAUUAGUUUUGCAAGUGUGCUAGAGUCACCAUCUCUCCUUAUCUAAUCUAUAUAUUUAUAACUCCCCAUCACCAUAGUAUCGCUGUGCCUCUCAAGUAUUUAUAGAGGGAAAUAACAAUUAUUGGACUGUCCCUCUCUUUUACCCUCUGUGUGCUCCGAGCCUGCAGGGGAAAUAGCUCAAUUACCUGAGAGGGCUGCUUUUAAUCCAUUUGAGUGGGUCUGUCAAGAAUUGCUGGGUGAGAGCUCAGUCUCUUAACUGGGCACCUCACUUUGGUUUAUGAGACCCGUGGUCUAAACUCAUUGGAGGGAGCAGAUUUUGUCCCUCUGGAGCUGUCUCGUACUGUGUUUUUAGUCGGAUUGCUGCUCUGUUUAGCCCAGCACAGUUAGUGUGGCUGGCAGCUCCUCUCCACAGUGCCAGGCAGAGAUUCCCCCUCUGCUGGCUAGAUCCUCUUUUUAACUAGAGAUGCUGAAGAUUGAAUCCAGGACCUUAUGCCUGCAAAACUGGUGUUCUGCUAUUGCAAUUGAUUCAUCUAAGCUUGUUUCACCUGCAACAUGCAAUCUCUUCAUGGCUUUCUGGUUGCUGGCACCAGCUGAACAGGGAAGAAAUGUCUCUCAUCUCUGGAACUGGACAAUGGAGGAGAAGUAGAGCAUUCAUAAUCCACUACUUCCCUUUCAUUGUGCAGUUCCACCUGCAAUAGAUAUUUCUCCCUGUCCAGCUGGUGCUAGAAAUCAUAGAGCCAUAUUUCCAUGGACAGGACAUAUGAGAUAACAGUGAAAGGGUAUGGGUCAUUCUGUGCUUGAGCAAGUUGGCGUGAGCCACCUUCUUCAUUUUAGAGAACUUCAUAGUUGAACUGGUGAUGCUUCAAUAACAGCAGAGGCUAAGCAGGUGUGGCACCUGAACCUUGCACUAGCUCUGGCCUUUAUUUCUAGUUUGGAAGGCAUUGCUGCAGGCACAGAUGUGGCAGAGUCAAGAAGAGAGCAAUACUUGAUUGGGUGCCUGCCCCUACGCCCCGCAGGGGCACCAUGACUUGUAACAAUGCUGCUCUGUUGUCUUGCAACAACAAGUGGUUUCUGACAACAGCAAGUCAUUUCUUGCUAUGGAUUGUUCUCUCCUCUCGGAACAUGACAUCACUUUUCAGUCACAGCAGAUUCUAGUGAGCCAAAACAAACCAGCAGCCCUGUCUUUGGUCCAUCAGAUUAAAGCAUCUGUCUUUUGCUAGUCAGUCCAGCUAGGAUGAACACUUCCCAGCUGGUCCACAAUUGCCUAGCUUUAAAUCGCUGCUUCAGGAAAAUAGUGUAAAUUGAUGCAUAUUGGGGUGGGGAAAAAACCCAACUCCACAUAUAAGCUGAUGGGGUCUGAGCUGCCAGGGACUGAACAGGAGUUACUUUAGAGAUCAAUCUUGGACUCCAAACAAAUAGCAGACCAUGUGGCUAUUUGAAGCUCCAAAUUUCCAAAGUGCAUUAUUUGAAUCAGUAACAGUGCAACAUAUCCAUUAACCACAAAUGUUAAUUGUGCAGAAUUCUAAAUAGUUUAAAAGAGAGACGCUAGUAGGGGAGACACCUUGAUCAUGAACAACAACAACAAAUAAUAAUAUUUAUAUAUAUACUGUUUUUCAACAAAGUUUCCAAAGAGAACACAUAGAGAAAUAAUAAAUAAGAAGGCUCCUUGUCCCCAAAGGGCUCACAGUCUAAAAAGAAACAUAAGAUAGACACCAGCAACUGUCACUGGAGUUACGGUGCUGGGGGCAACUAUAUUAUUUUUUUAACAUUUUAUAUCCCGACGUUCCUCCAAGGAGCCCAGAGCGGUGUACUACAUACUUAAGUGUCUCCUCACAACAACCCUGUAAAGUAGGUUAUGCUGAGAGAGAAGUGACUGGCCCAGAGUCACCCAGCAAGUCUCAUGGCUGAAUGGGGAUUUGAACUUGGGUCUCCUCGGUCCUAGUCCAGAACUCUAACCACCAGUUACUCUCCCCCUGCUAAAUAAAGAUAAUCACCACAUUAAAAAGGUGCCUCUUUGCCCAAUUAGCAGAAGGAGGUUGACAGGAGGUAUUGGUUUAAAAGACAUGUUCACAUAUGCAGUGCACUGUAGCAUCCUAGAGACUGAUUUAUUGUGAUAUAGUUUUUGUAGCUUCAGCAGAUGUAUUAAGUAUUGAGAGAGUGUGCAUGCACACGCACAUGCAUUUGUGCAGGCAAGUAACAAAAGAACAGCUCUGCUGGAUCAGGCCCAAGGCCUAUCCAGUCCAGCAUCCUGACUCACACAGUGGUCCACCAGAUGCCUUCGGGGAGCCCACAGGCAAGAGGUAUGUGCAUGCCCUCUCUCCUGCUGUUGAUCCCCUGCAACUGGUAUUGAGAGACAUCGUGCCUCUGAGGCUGUGGUGAUGGUCCACAGCCAGCAGACUAGUAGCCAUUGAUAGACCUGUCCUCCAUGAAUCCGUCCAAGCUCCUUUGAAAGCCAUCUGGGUUGGUGGCCAUCACCACAUCCUGUGGCAGAGAAUUCCAUAGAUUAAUUUAUGUGCUGUGUGAAAAUGUACUUCCUUUCGUUUUUCCUAAAUUUCUUGGCCUACAGUUUAAUGAGAUGACCUCAGAUUCUAGUGUUGUGAGAAGAGAAAUAUUUCUGAGCGCUCACUCUCUCCGCACCAUGCAUAGUGUUAUAGAUCUCUGUCAUGUCUCCUCUUAAUCUUUUUUUUUCUAAGCUAAAAAGCCACAGGUUUUGUAGCAUUGCCACGUAAGGAAGAUGCCCUAGGCUCCUGAUCAUCUUGGUUGCCCUCUUCUGCACCUUUUCCAGUUCUACAAUGUCCUUUUUGAGAUAUGCUGACCAGAACUGCAGACAGUACUCCUAAUGUGGCCACACCAUAGAUCUGUAUACAGGCAUUGUAGUAUUAGCAUUCUUAUUUUCAGUCCCCUUCUCAGUGAUCCUUAGCAUGGAAUUUGUCUUUUUUACAGUGCCUCACACUGAGUUGACACUUUCAAGGAGCUGUCCACCACAACCCCAAGAUCUCUCUCCUGUUCAGUCACUGUCAGCUCAGACCCCAUCAGUGUAUAUAUGAAGUUGGGGGGUUUAACCCCAAUAUGCAUCACUUUACACUUGCUUAAACAGAGCCACAUUUGCCAUUUUGUUGCCCACUCCCCCAGUUUGGAGAGCUCCCCACAAUCUGUUUUAAAUGAUUAUAUAAAACAGAAAUGACAAUUAAUUAAUUGUACAUCUAGCCCACCUCUCAUGAUGGCUUCCAAAAUUGCUAGGAUCAGUCACUAGAGCUGAGCUCGCUAAGGAUAUGAGAACUAGACCGUCCCAUCUGAACACCUGUCCCCAGCCAUGCUUCACCUUGCCCUCUUGUUGGACUGUUCCAGAACCUGACCACCAGCCUUAUGCUUCUGCCCCUUGAAUUCCUGAUUUCCCAUUCUGGAACCUGCCCACCAGCCCACAUUUGCCCAUGCCCUCUACCUCCUGAUCUUUGGAUCUGCUGGAAUCCUAUUCCUAGCCUGUUUAGGUGCACUGUUUGGCCCACACCCUGGCAUACCCCCAGUCACAACUAAGACUUAUUCUACAGCUGGAGUACACUAAGGGUUCUACAAAACUAGGGCAGAAACAAGUUCCUGUCUGCUGACAUAAUCUAGAAAAUGGGAGGUGAAGAGGAAACUGCAGCAACUAGGAGAGAGGGGGAGAAGAGGAAAGCAAGCCAAAAGAAUACAAUUAACCUAAUUUAAACAAUCCUAUAGAUCAUCAAGAAGAGAACACAAGAACAAGAAUGUGAGUUCUUAAUUAUUUUCAAGGUAGAGAAUUCCACACAUAAGGGGUCAUGAAAGAGAAGGCAUGGAGGCAAGAAAUUGCACAGGGAAGUGGGUGUCCAACAAACACAUCCUCUUUAGUGCCACAUCAAUAAUCCCAGUCAGAAGCCCUGCAGCUGCAUUUAGUUUGAAAAAACUGCUGGAACUUCUGAAUGCAGAUCUCUUACGUCAUCUAGUUGCACCCUUACAUCUAACUUCUGCGGGAGUGUGCCCUUUGUAUGCAGUCGUACAGCAAGACACCUUUUGAGCUGUUGAUAAUUUUUGGCAUCACUUUUGGCAGGGUUGGGGUAUAGAAUGUACUUUACUUGUACUUUUAAUUGAAAUGAUCCUCAUAACUUAAUAAAUGUUUUCAUUGUACCAUUGGGGAGCUGUGACAGAGAGAAGGCUAUCCAGGAUGUCCAGAGCUGAGCAGAUUGGAACCCAGGUCUCCCAAUUCCAUAGAUGAUCCACUGGACUUUGAUGCGCAAGUUAAUGCUGGCCUUUCAUACAGGGCUUUUGCAAGGACUACUGAGAUGAUGUAGAUGAAGCAUUUUGACGGACAAUGCAAUUGCUUCUUGUUCUCAGAGUAGGAAGACGAGUGGCUGUGUGCUGCCAGUUAAUGUCCUAUCCAUGGUGCACGGCAGGUUCUCCUCUCCUGAACGCCCAAGCUUCCCUCUCUUCCCAGUCUCAUCUGUGCUGCUGGGAAAGAAACAUGGUAGCUGGUGCCACCUGCUUUCUUUGAACCUUCUUCUCUGCUGAGUGCUUUGCAAACAUUUAAUUAAUUAGACAAACAAAAAGGCCUGUGGGAAAUACUGUCUUACAUGCAAAUAAGGGACAAUGGUAAAUACAAGGAAAUGGGGCAAAUGCUGACCUAAUGGAUCUACAAUAAUUAUUUCCUUCUGUGCCAUCUCAUAAAGGCAUUUGAAGUUCUAAAAAUAACCAGAGCUGAAUCAGUGAAUGGGGGAAAGUACUGCCAGCUACAAAUGUGAGUUUUCAAAAUAUCAUGAGUGGAUUGGUUGUGGGUUUUAGGUCUUAUGAAUUAUUGAGGGCAUUGACCUGAGUUUGAAACACUUGCAGAAACAUGUAGUUAUCUGUCCUCUACUGAAAAAUGAUUUACGGUACAUUUGCAAUGUGCAACCUGGAGUGUAACAAUUUUAUUUAGUGAUGACAAACAGGAGCACAAGGAGGUGAGAAUGUGUGCUUUCAGAGGUUCAGCCCACACUCACAGCUAUUAGAUGAACCAUCGCCAAUGCUUGAAUUUUCGGAUGAGAAGGACUGGGGCUGAAACCUAUCUGGAUGUCACACAUUCCCUGGAAACAUUUGCCCUGAUCUCAGAUGUGCUUGUGAUAGAUGUGAUUACUCAGCGCUGGAGGAAAGGCACUGUGCACAAAGGCACUCUCUUAUUUGUACUAUGCACACAUUCAGAGGCAUGUUCUUGGUUGUUUUUUUAAAUUAACACAUUAUUGACAAGUUCCAAGCCUGAGAGAUCUAUUUGAUGAUGCCAUGCUAUGGAUACUGGCCUUGCAUACAAGACUGUUUUCAACAAUCUAUGUAAGGUUGUCUCUGUAGUACUGGUGGUACAUCCCCAGUGGUGUUAAUUCCUGUUGAGAGCAUAACAUGAAUAAGUCCCUGCACCACAGUACAGAUGGCUGCCAUGCAGAAGCACAGCAAGGUUGCAGUAGGCCAAAGUGAAGAUGAGACAUGGCCGCGCUUCCCCCCCCCCCCCCGCCAGUUACCUGUCUUCUCCCCCCACCCACCCAUAUUUGCUGCAGAAGAACAAGCUGUUGCCCAGUCACUGCCCGCCCCCUGCUCCUUCAGGCCCAGGGCCAUUUGUCCCCCUCCCCUUUGUUCAAUUAUAGCGAUACCCUUGCUAACAUGCUUCAUUAAGUGUAGCAGCAGGAGGGAUGGCACAAUCUCCAUCACUCAACGAUUCUAACCAAGGUCCAUCUGAUUUAGCAUUUCCUUGUCACAAGCAGCCGGCCAGAUACUUCUAGAAGCUCAUAAGCGGAGCAUGAAUGUGGUGACCUGUUGCCUGACCCCAGCAUCUGGCAUUCAGAGGUACACUGCUUCUGCACACAGAGGUUCCAUUUAACACUCAUGGCUAAUUUCCUUUGGCAGUUUAAGCUACAGUUAAUCAACCCUUGCUAUUAAGUCUCCUGAAGCAGUGUGGCUAUAUAGCCUGUGUCUUUGGUUGUCACUGGUGAGAAACGUAGUAUGAUGGCUCACAUAUGUGGAGUUAACUCUCCUGAGAAGUCUACGCAUGGCUAGCAAAUAUCACUGGUGCUGUUUCCUUGCCACUGGUUUUAAUGGGCUGUGUAUACUACUACUACUACUACUACUACUACAAAUAUUUAUAUAUUGCUCUUCAAUAAAAUUUUCAAAGCAGUUUACAUAGAAAAAUACAUAAAUCAGAUGGUCCCUUGUGCCUACAGGGCUCAAAAUCUAAAAAGAAACAUAAGGUAGACAUCAGCAACAGCCACUGGAGGGAUGCUGUGCUGGGGUUGGAUAGGGCCAGUUGCUCUCCCCUUGCUAUAUAUAAGAGACACGCCACAUUAAAAGGUGUCUUUUUGCUCAGUUAGCAGGAAUUAUACUGAGAUGGUUGAUGGGGGAAUCCCUCCUCUAAGCACUUGAGAAGCGACCCCCCUCUUACUGAACUCCUCCCCCACAAAACCUAAUAUCUUCAGUCCCGAAAACAAAUUUUCUGCCCCUCACCACAAAGUGUCUUUCCUCUUCCUGCAAAAAAUAAAAAAUUAAAUAAGAACAAGUGUGGAGUUGCUCCUCAAACUUUCCCUCUGUCUGCAUCCCUGUACUGAGGGCCCUAGUUUGUUGUACUAUAUACCCUGAAUGAGGUGUGAGGAGGGAGAGCACCAUCUAAGAGACCAGGAUGUUCUGAUACCAUGUUUUUCUACUUAGGAGAGGACAAGGGCUGAUUCACAUGUGCGUGGACAUCAUCUGACACCACUGCUGGAUGAUGUUCAGCUGCAUAAAUGGCCUUGGUUCAAAUGUGUUAUUUCGGUCUGGGAUGUCAAACUGUGGCCCUCCAGCCGUUGUGGGCCUACAACGCCCAUCAUUCCCAUUGUGACUGAGGGUGGUGGGAGUUUGAGCCAGGAUGGCUGAUUCACAGAUGCACAUCCUCCGUUAUUGCCAAUAUCCAGAGUGGUGCAUCAUGCACAUGGGAGCUCUUCCCAAAAUGCUCAUAACUUGUCCUUGUUAUGUACAAGUAUAUAACAAGGACAAGUGAUUAUGCACUUAGGCAUCCCCCCAGCCAGGGGAUUCUGAUGAAGAAUUUUCUCAGGAUCAAAAACCAGAACUCUGCACUUCACCCACCACUAGAAAGGCCAUGAAGCAUUUCGCUGAUUUGUGGCGAAAACCCUUCUUGACAAUGUACAAGCCAGUCAUAAGAAUAAGGUUCCCACUUCAUUCAAAUGAAACAAAGAGCCAUUGCUCAUGUGCAGUGUUAAUUAAUGUAAAUGCAUGCACAUUUAAAAUUGCCCAUCACCUAGCUCUGAAGCCAAGCUAAAAAUAUGCAUAUAGACAUGACUAACCAUAGAGAGAAAGAGAGUUUAAAAACUGGCCAAUCUCUUUUUAAAGUGGCCUGAUGGAGACCCUGCAUUGGACAUGACAGACUUUGGUGAGCUUGCGCUGCUUUCACCACAAAAGAGAGAAUCCUGCAUCCUGCCUCCCUGCCCGCCUCUUCAGAAAAUGCGUGUUCGUUCCAUCUGAAAUGAAAUGGCCAGGGUCAUCCAGGCCAAAUCCUAGCCCCAGGAAAGUCCAGAUUUCCCUAUGGUGCAACAUCAGAACCCCCUGCCCUGUCCUAUAACAGAGUGACCCAGGGUCAUCCAAGCCUACACAUCACUGUGGGGGGUGCUUAGGACCCAGCAGAACUCUCUCUAUGAAUGACAGACAGUGCUUUAAAAGGCCAGGCAGAGCCCAGAUGUGACAGCCUGUGCCAUCUACUGAGAGAAAACCAGCAGUUGCUAAUGCAGCCGCCACCGCCGCUGCUGCUUUCCAGCUCCAUUCCAGGUGUGGAGAAUUGAACAGUAGCACAAGAAGCCUGCAACAACGCCUUCCCAGGGAUUCUGUGCAUCCUCCCAGCAGCAUCCUCCCAACACUGAAAUGGCUUCAGGAUGUGAUAGCCAUCCUGCCUAGGUGCUCUUCUCUGCAGCAGGAAAGGACUUUGAUUCCACAAACAAAGCAGGUCAUUGUAAAUAGGACAAUAGUCCCUGCCUCUGGUUAGCGGGAUUGGCUCAAAAGCAGGGCAUCGGCAGGUUGCUGUCUAGGAAAAGGGCACAGUGAAGCAUGGAAAAUUGGAAGGCUGUCUUGAAUAGCACUCGGAAGGCUUGUGCCCUUGCAGGGAAGUUAUGAAGAACUCGCUGGCCAGGAGGAGACCACAGCUGGGGAGUAUCUGCGCUGGACAGCAAAGCAUUUUACAGGAGAAAGAAUGGUGAGCUACAGCCCUAUGCAUUUUAGCAAGGAUAAAGUACCACCAGAGAAGAAGAUGGUGGCAGUGACAUACAACCCAAACGUCCACUGGCCACCAGUGUACAUUCUUGCUGCCAGGGUCCAGGCCCAUUUGAAAUAGACCUCAGGGACAAUGGUCAACAGAACUAGGAUUAAUUCUACCCAGGGACUUGAUGCAUUCUAUCCACCUGAGGUGUCCCAGUUUCAGGAGGCCAUUGGCAUUUUCUUCAUGGUCAUGCUGAGCGUCAUUGCCUUGGUUGCCAAUACAGCAGUCAUGGUUGUCAUUCUCAAGACGCCACUGCUGAGGAAGUUCAUCUUUGUCUGCCAUCUCUGCCUAGUAGAUCUGUUGUCAUCCAUUUUUGUCAUGCCCCUGGGGAUCAUCUCCAGCUCCACUUGUUUUAACAGAGUUUUAUACAGCAUUGCUGAAUGCCAGACACUGAUCUUCCUGAAUGUUUGCUUCAUCAGUGCCUCCAUCCUCACCAUCUCUGUGAUCAGUAUCGAACGGUACUAUUACAUUGUCCAUCCGAUGAGAUACGAGGUCAAGAUGACUACUGGGCUGGCAGCCACAGUUGUGGCUUUCAUCUGGGUUAAGUCCAUUCUUGUCGCUGCUUUGGCACUAGUGGGCUGGCCCCAAGACAAUGGAGCCAGCAGUGCCAGCAAGUGUACUGUUUAUUGGAGCCCUGGAGCCCACAAGAAGAUCUUUGUGAUCAUCUUCAGCAUUCUCUGCUUUAUAGUUCCCACCUUGAUCAUAUUUGCAGUCUAUGGCAGCAUCUACAAGGUAGCCCGGAUUGCUUCCCUGCAGCAUGUCCCUGUCCCUUCCUGGACAGCCACACCCCGGCAACGAUCAGACUCCAUUCACAGCCAAGUCACUAUCAUCACAACGAGGAACGUGCCUCCCAGGCUGUCACCAGAACGCUUGUUUGGUGGGAAUAAGGCUGCCAUGACAUUAGUCCUGAUUGUAGGUCAAUUCCUCUGUUGCUGGCUCCCAUUCUUCUCCUUCCACCUACACUGCUCCAUCACCUCUGCCUCUACGGUCCCUGGUUAUGGUGAAAUUGUUGUGACCUGGCUUGCCUAUUCCUCCUUUGCUAUCAACCCUUUUUUCUAUGGGCUACUGAACCGUCAGAUCAGGGAAGAACUGGCAAAACUGGGACGACAAUGCCUCAGUAAGCCCCUGAGUCAAGAGCUGUGCAUCUCCAGCCCAGAAGGUUCCAUCCAGGAGAAUUUCCUCCAGUUCCUGCAAAGGACCAGUUGCACAAUAGAGACACGUUCCAGCUAUGUUAAUUCCAGCCCCAGGAACACUUUGGACCAGGCUGCUUUGGGGUUCAGAAUCCCAGGACAAAUCCCAGAGGAAACCAACUGAUGAAAGAACCGUGGUUUGGGGUCAUCAUGUAUACACCUCUUCCCAACUGGCUUUAAAUUAAGAGGAAGAAGAGGGAGCUCAAUGCACUGAAAGAAUAGGCUGAGCCUUCUUUGUUGGAAGAGUCUGCAUGUGAAACAAUUGCUUCUCUCAUAACUAUGCGAGUAAAUGGGAUGAAGGAAUGGUUUCCGCCUGUGGCUGACAGGGCUGGAUCUGAUGAGGUCAGAGCCAGUUUUACCGAUAGAGAACUGUAGUCAGCCACUUAGGGUGGGGCUGAGCAAGGGCAGAACUUUUAACCAAAUUUUCAGAGAGCACUUUGCGGAAGAUCAUGUUGUGAAUAAGGGCCUUUCCAGACAACCCUCCCAAAGUGCUUCUUUUUGUAAGUGUUAAGAUACUGUUAGCCCCAAGCCAGCAUCAGCGGUAGCCAGCCAUGGAAGGAAACAUGUUUUGCUGCCUUGUGAAUGUACAUACAGCCAAGUUGUUUGGGGUAUUUUUAAAGGUGGGGGGCAGGGGAUAGACAAAAAUUCAUACUUCAGAGCACCCAUUCUCCAAAGGUAAAAAUGGUGGAGCAUCUUAAACUCUUUGAAAUGUCACUGAUUGAGGAGGUGGAGAGAGAACUGGCACUGAUCAGGUACCUGAGAACCUAGAGUAAUCACCACCUGCACAAAACUUCUUAUUGCUACAAAAGCUGGGGCUGCAAUGAAUGAGUGGAGGGUACUUCAUUUUCCAAGCAUCUCAACAGUGUGGUGUGGAUGCAAGAAAAACUUGAUUUCCCAGGAACUCAGGUUCUAGUGAGAACUCUGUAUUAGUUGCUGCUGGCAGAAGGUCCUUCAGAAUAUUUGAGCACACCAAUAAAUUCCUUUAUGUGUGAACCAACAUAGUCCUAACGCAAAACAUCUAAGGUCAGAAGGCAUCUGCUGAGAAUCCAGUGGGAUAAGUACUGCCGGAUCCAGAGCACAAUUGUGGGGGUGCACCGGAAACUGUCGAUAGUCGGUCGAGAUCUCCUGCAAGGAAGUUGAGUAGCAGGCCAACCCGAUAAUGGCUUGUUGAAAUAAACAUUGUCAGUAUGUGUUGAAGGUGUGAUGGGCUUUGGGAGGCCUUACAGACUAGGGAAGAGAUGUGGGAGGUAUUCUCCAGACCAUUUGCCUCAUGAAUUUCUUUAUCUAAAGAUUUAGAGUCUUUCAGGUCUUGUAAACCGUACUCCAAGAAAGCAUUGUAAAUAGUACGUGAGUCCACUUUGCAGUCCCACAAAAGAGCAAGCGGGAAAUCCUCAGAAUCCUCAGGGAUGGAGCAAUUCGUAUUGGUCUCUGGAGCUUCCCCUGUCUGGGGAUUAUGAUUUACAAGCAAUAUAGAGGGAAUAUCUAGUGAAUCAGAAGCCAAGGUUCUUCCUGUGGACUUCCCAACUGGAUUCUUGAGCUGCUGCAACUGCUGUGCUGUGGGGCUGUAUACUUCUGCAUCAGACCCAUCCACACUUUUUGUCUCCUGGCUCACUUGGCUUAUGAUCUCCAUUUGUAAUUCCAUUAAAAGCUCUGUUUUAUUCAUAGAGCUCCUCUCCAAGAGCUCAGCAGCAGAUUUUUAAAAAUCCUCCCACAUUUAUCUGCUCAUUAACAGUCACAUCCUCUGAUGCGGCAGGGCAUUCAGUAAAGGAAUCCAUCUGUAUAUAUUCAGAGUUCAAGAGUCUAACAAGUAACUUUACUUGUUAGCCAUGCUAGAGUUCUCCCAGACUUCCUUCCUUCCUUCCUUCCUUCAUUCAUUCACUUACUUGCUUGCUUACUUACUUACUUAUUCGAUUACUUGGUGGUACCUUUCCUCCUUUUUGGUAUACAUUCUAACUGGGCUUCUAAUAUUGUGGUUUUAAAUAAUCUCCAGACAUUCUAGAGUGAAGUGACUCUCCUGAUUUUCACAUUCAGUUUUCUCUUCACCAAACUCCUCAUUUUAGAGAAGUUUCCUCUUCUGAAGUUCAAAGUGUCUGUGUUAGACUUCCUUAAUGAUUCUCUCCUUGCAGGUAUGCUGAAUUGGAUCACACUAUGGUCACUGUUCCCUAAAGGUUCCACGACACUGAUAUCUCAUACCAGGUCCUGUGUACCACUCAGGAUUAAGUCCAAAGUUGCCUUCUCUCUGGAUGGUUCCAUGACCAACUGUUGUAGGGCAAAGUCAUUCAGCAUGUCUAGAAAUGUGGCCAAUUUCUAAUGUCUAGAAAUUACCUGAAUGUGAAUUUGCCCAGUCUAUGUGUGGGUAAUUGAGGUCACCCAUUAUUAUAUCUUUGUCUCUCUUUGACGCCUCUCUGAUUUUCUUAUUUGUUAUUAUUAUUUAUUUAAAAUAUGUAUACCCCGCCCCUCCAGUGCACUACUGCUCAGGGCAGCUCACAACAAUAAGAUAGACACCGAUACAAUACAAGUAAUAAAAUUAACUUUUUUUAAAAAGUCAGAUUAAAAACCACAAUUAUUAGGUUCAAAUUAAAACUGAAAAUUAUAAAAAGCUAAAGAACCUACCAGAUAUAACAAAACAAUAAUGAGCAUUAAAAAGCCUUCUUAAAAAGGAGCUAGUCCACCGCUAGCUAGAAAGCUAGCCCUUUCUUCUGCCAGUUAUCAUCAGUGUUUUGGUUAGGAGGGCGAUUGCACAUUCAUAGUAACACGUUUCCUUUCAGGCCUUGUAUUUCCUAACUUUUUUUCUAACUUUAGGGGUUUUUUUCUAAGUUAGGUUUUCCUAACUUUUCUAGCUUCAUAGGUAAGAAGUCAAGCUCACGGCUCACUUCUGCUUCCUACUGUGUACAGUGUGGGUACAGGCUACAUGGCAAGCCAAUGUUUGAGCAAGCCUGGCCUAAAUCCAAUUGGUGCUUAUUGGACCCCCGAUAAGGGGUCCACGGUACUGCCUCCCCCUUCUCACAGCAGUAAUCCCCCCACUGACAGCCUUGCUGACCUCCUUGGCACUUUCCAGGCCAAGAAACGAGUCCACCACCCACCCACUGCCCAAGUCCCACUCCCUUUGUCAACUUCUCCGCCCGCUUCCAACCCAUACGCUUACCUUUCUCUUUCUCCUCACCCUCCAUCUUUCCUUUCUCCUAAGUGCAUGAAGUGUACCGAUGAACAACUUCUCCUCCUGCCCCCAAUUCCCCGGCCUCUUCCCAUCACUCCUUACAUCGUGUGGGAGAAGCAGCACCUGCUGCUACCAUUCAGGCUUGUCUCCUCCACUGGCUUCUCUUUUCCCUGCUCUCCCUGCCCGUGGGAAUGGAGCAGAGAGCCCCUGCAAGCAGAGAGUGAGAAAAUUAGAAGCCAGCAAAGAGGUCAAGGAGGAGCCUGAGUGGCAACAGUGAGCCAGGGAGGCAGUGGCGCAAGUGCCCAAGGACAUCGCCACCUCCUCCAAUCUGCUGCCUGAGGCAACUGCCUCACUGCAACUCAUGGAAGGGCCGGCUUUGUGUGAAUCAGCUUUUGCUUUCAUGGAACAUGUUUAGGAUCAGAGUGUAUGGUAUGGGAGGUGGAAGUCAGUUGUUAUUAGGAUCCAUGCCAGACUGUGGGUUUUCUUCCCUUCACCUCCCUGAUUACUCAGGACUGAGGAAUGUAACGACACUACAUGCUCUUUAAUCCUGUCACCCCUUCUUAUGAUGUGCAGCCAUUUAGCAAUCUCGUGCUGAAGGGAGCAGACUGUUUCCCCCCCCACGCCGCUGAGUCAGUAAACAAGCAAAACUGAAUUGUGUGAUCCCUGCUGCUCUAAGGGCUUCAGCUAAAAUAAGUGGUUUGAUCAAAGGGGUGCCUGGCUUUCAUUGUCUCAGUGUCUGCUGAAGCACAUUUAUUAUAGCAGAAAGGCAAUGCGUUUGCAUUACUGCUAGGCAAACAGUGCUGCAGGAAAGAUUCAAUUUUCCAUAGCACUGUUGCAACUCGAAUCUCUCUGUCCUCAUCUCACUUAGGAGAGAUCCAGCCAGUGUUCCCUUUAAUUUUUAUCAUCAGUGAGAGGAAAGAGUUUUGUUCUGGGCAGCAGUAGCAAUGCAGUGUGCGCACAUCUCUCUCUUUCGCUCACACACACUCUCUCUCUCUCUCUCUCUCUUAAUGUGACACGCACAGGACAUUAAUUUGCACAUUAAAAAAAAUAUCCAAAUUUUAGUUGCGGGGAGGGAGGGACAAGAGGAAAGUAGCCGCCUUUCAUUAAAAACAAUCCAAAGGCGGUUUGCAAAAGUUAAAAAACAUAUAAUAAAAAUGACAGUUAAAAGUAUUAAGCUAAAAAUAUGAAAACAAACUGAUUUUGCUUAAAUUAAAGCUUUUUCUUUUUCUUUUUCUUUUAAAGCCAUGGCGGCAGUAGCUGGGGUGGAGGUGGGGUUGAGAGGGAAGUUCCCCCUUUUACUUUAAUUUUUUAAGAAGCCACAGCAGCGACAGAAGCUGCAGCGGGGAGGCGAGGGGAAAGUUCCUCCUUUUGCCCCCUAAAGAUCACCACUGCUGGCGGCGGGAUGGGGCGCUCUGGUGGCGGCUGGCUGUGGGGGGGGGGAGAAGGGGAGAAUGCCCCCUUUUUAACCUUUGAAAGCCCGCUGUGCUGUGGGAUGGGGAGCGGCACACUAUCUUCCCUAAGACCAGGCAACGCUAGUCAGCAACCACUACUGUCGUUGAUGUAUGCAAGUCUGAUGUUGAACUUCACAUAGUCUUCCUCUCUGUGAUGGGACCUAGAGUUAGCCUCUUCCUGGAGGGCAUAGGCAGGGUGGGUUGUCUCACCUGACCCCAUGAGGUCAGCCUCAGACAACAGCCUCAAGCAGUAAAUGCCCCAUGGGACAGUGAAUGAGGGGCCUCCCACCCCUGCCACAGGCUCCACCUUACCCUCCUGCUGCUGACCCAACCUCAUCUGUGUUGCCACCAUCCAUCUCUGGUCUCCCCCCACACACACCUCUGGCACUGAUGCCCCCACACCUCCUUCACCAGCCAAAGUGCUGCCUGCUCCAGCAGCGCCAGCUGGCCUCUUCUGCACUGCUGCACCAAUAGCAGCCCUUUCCCUCUCUCGCUCUCCCAUUGUCUCUCCUCUCCAAGCAUCAAACUUGUCUACUUUGUCCUGGAUAUGUGUGGUGCUGAAGGGAAGAGGCGGGGUGGGGGAGAAGAGCUACUGUUAUCACAGCAGGACAGAGGAGAGGCCAUCUGCCACUUCUGGAGGCAUGCUGCAUGGUCCCUCAUGCUGUGCAAACAUCAAGCUCGAAGCUUUCCACAGAGGGCUUUUGAAGCCCUUUAACUUGCAUCUCCUCCGGAAUGGAGAAGGUGUGUUCACGUAUCAGCUAGAUUUACCCCCCAAUCCCUAUGAGUUAUCGGGGAGCAGUUCACACACAAUUUGGGUUUUUCACUGUGCAUUUGUCAUGCUCCUGUCUUCAGAUAGCGAAGAGAAAGGGGAAGCUGACAGUUUGCCAGCAGCUGCAGGGGAACCUGAAGGGCAGAGCCCAGCUGUUAGCCCACAGCAAAUAUCUGAGGCAGGUCUAGUUGAAGCUUCAGGACAACCGGAACCAUCAGAGGUAGCAGAGAUAAGAAAUGGAGAGCAGGACACUGAAGUAAACAAUGAAGCACCUUUGCAUCCUUGUGAGAGAAGGCUGAUGAGAUGCAGACAACAAGUGGAAGAACUCAGGAGAAGCAGACGCCUGCUUUACAAACCAGAUAAAUCCUGAAUCUGUGUCAGCAGGCCGAAGGUGGAGAGCAAUUAAGCCCAGCUAUAAAUCAAGACCGAAGGCUGCAGCUAAAUGCUAGAAGCAACAAGUCUUUUUGAGCCUGCUACAGCUGAGCCUUUGACUCAGAAGAAACCCCUGCUUUGGGUUGGCCUCUAGAGACCCAGGCUUUUUCUGCUGCUACUCUGCUAACCUGACCAAGUCCUGACAGCUGCCCUAGCUGGAACGCCUUGCACUCCUUUUGCUCUGGAACUGUGCUAUAUGGUCAGUGGACUGAGUUUGCGGGGGAGACAGUCUGUACCUGAUACUUCCAAUAAAGUGUUCUCUUGUGUUUU